This 368-nucleotide ribosomal RNA is filed under the name uncultured bacterium. Its description in RNAcentral is "bacterial SSU rRNA". It matches the Rfam family "Bacterial small subunit ribosomal RNA", at positions 29 to 407 of the family's 1533-position model. The record is from RNAcentral.
AAUGAACGUUGGCGGCGUGGAUUAGGCAUGCAAGUCGCGCGACAAGGAACCUUCGGGUUCUGGAGGAGCGGCAAACGGGGUAGUAAGGCAUCGGAACGUACCCUCUUGUUGGGAAUAGCCGCGGGAAACUGCGAGUAAUGCCCAAUAAUCCCUACGGGGCAAAGGUCCGCCGCAGGAGGAGCGGCCGAUGUGAUACCAGCUAGUUGGUGAGGUAAUGGCUCACCAAGUGCUUAGACGUCGUAGGGGGUGUGAGAGCAUCGGCCCCCACCACGUGGGACUGAGAUACUGCCCAGACACCGUACGGGUGGCUGCAGUCGAGAAUCUUCGGCAAGUGGGCGCAAGCCUGACCGAGCAACGCCGCGUGCGGA